GCCAGGCACGGUGGCGCGUGCCUGUAGUCCUGGCUACUCAGGCUGAGGUGGGAGGAUUGCUUGAGCCCAGGAGUUCUGGGCUGUGGUGCGCUAUGCCGAUCCAGUGUCUGCACUAAAUUCGGCAUCAGUAUGGUGACCAACCAGGAGCAGGGGACUACCAGGUUGCCUAAGGAGGGGUGAACCAGCCCAGGUUGGAAACGAAGCAGGUCAAAACUCCCAUGCUGAUCAGUAGUGGGAUGGCGCUUGUGAAUAGCCACUGCACUUCAGCCUGGGCAUCAUAGCGAGACCCCGCCUCU
Molecule: signal recognition particle RNA, 296 nt
Filed under: Cebus imitator (Panamanian white-faced capuchin)
Lineage: Eukaryota; Metazoa; Chordata; Mammalia; Primates; Cebidae
Description: Metazoan signal recognition particle RNA (ENSCCAG00000000681.1)
Rfam family: Metazoan signal recognition particle RNA
About the family: The signal recognition particle (SRP) is a universally conserved ribonucleoprotein. It is involved in the co-translational targeting of proteins to membranes.
Source: RNAcentral